CCCUUAGAUGUUCUGGGCCGCACGCGUGCUACACUGAGUGGAUCAGCGGGUCAGGUUGCGCGAAAUCGUUUCCUAAUCUUUAAAUCCGCUCGUGAUGGGGAUUGACGGUUGCAAUUUUCUGUCAUGAACGAGGAAUACCUUGUAAGCGCGGGUCAUCAUCCCGCGCUGAAUACGUCCCUGCCCUUUGUACACACCGCCCGUCGCUCCUACCGAUUGAGUGGUCCGGUGAGGCUUUGGGAUCUGAGCGGAAAGAGCGUUUCGCUGUUUCUGCUCGGAAAACUCAGUCGAACCUUAUCAUUUAGAGGAAGGAGAAGUCGUAACA
Molecule: ribosomal RNA, 322 nt
Filed under: uncultured eukaryote
Lineage: Eukaryota
Description: partial 18S ribosomal RNA
Rfam family: Eukaryotic small subunit ribosomal RNA
Source: RNAcentral